Molecule: transfer-messenger RNA, 361 nt
Filed under: Gemmatimonadota
Lineage: Bacteria; Pseudomonadati
Also listed under: 2 other names
Description: JAENXO01 sp023554245 Standard tmRNA
Rfam family: transfer-messenger RNA
About the family: Bacterial tmRNA, also known as 10Sa RNA or SsrA, is named for its dual tRNA and mRNA-like properties. Its role is to liberate the mRNA from a stalled ribosome.
Source: RNAcentral
GGGGGUGAUUCAGAUUCGACGUGUUUACUGGAAUCCGAGGAAGCGUGCCGAGGUUCUCGGGCCUCGUAAAACACCGGGAAAAUUUUCAGGUGCCAAUGACAACAUGGCGCUGGCCGCGUAACUAACGCGUCCCGUCCCAGGAUUCGCCCGGCCCGAGGCGGUCCCAGGGACGUCGCAAAUCGGGCUGGCCGGAGGCGGACGCCGCGACCGCAGCCGGUGAGAUGGCGAAAGCCGUAGUGGCUGGCUGAAGGCGGGCCGUUGGGGAGCCCUGCCUGACGCGAGACGAGAUCCCCGAAUACGCACGUAGAUGCCGAGGAAGAAGGAUUCGCGGACCCGGGUGCAAGUCCCGGCACCUCCAUCA